GAACGCUGGCGGCGUGCUUAACACAUGCAAGUCGAACGAUGAAGCCUUUCGGGGUGGAUUAGUGGCGAACGGGUGAUAACACGUGGGCAAUCUGCCCUUCACUCUGGGACAAGCCCUGGAAACGGGGUCUAAUACCGGAUAACACUCUGUCCCGCAUGGGACGGGGUUAAAAGCUCCGGCGGUGAAGGAUGAGCCCGCGGCCUAUCAGCUUGUUGGUGGGGUAAUGGCCUACCAAGGCGACGACGGGUAGCCGGCCUGAGAGGGCGACCGGCCACACUGGGACUGAGACACGGCCCAGACUCCUACGGGAGGCAGCAGUGGGGAAUAUUGCACAAUGGGCGAAAGCCUGAUGCAGCGACGCCGCGUGAGGGAUGACGGCCUUCGGGUUGUAAACCUCUUUCAGCAGGGAAGAAGCGAAAGUGACGGUACCUGCAGAAGAAGCGCCGGCUAACUACGUGCCAGCAGCCGCGGUA
This 473-nucleotide ribosomal RNA is filed under the name Streptomyces sp. CR 14. RNAcentral's name for it is "bacterial SSU rRNA". It matches the Rfam family "Bacterial small subunit ribosomal RNA", at positions 31 to 522 of the family's 1533-position model. The record is from RNAcentral. Lineage: Bacteria; Bacillati; Actinomycetota; Actinomycetes; Kitasatosporales; Streptomycetaceae.